UUGUAGGCUGCAACUCGCCUACAUGAAGUCGGAAUUGCUAGUAAUCGCGGAUCAGCAUGCCGCGGUGAAUACGUUCCCGGGCCUUGUACACACCGCCCGUCACACCAUGGGAGUCGGUAACACCCGAAGCCUGUAGUCUAACCGCAAGGAGGACGCAGUCGAAGGUGGGAUUGAUGACUGGGGUGAAGUCGUAACAAGGUAUC
This 203-nucleotide ribosomal RNA is filed under the name uncultured bacterium. RNAcentral's name for it is "partial 16S ribosomal RNA". It matches the Rfam family "Bacterial small subunit ribosomal RNA", at positions 1298 to 1500 of the family's 1533-position model. The record is from RNAcentral.